UGCAGUCGAACGGUGAAGGCGGAGCUUGCUCUGCUGGAUCAGUGGCGAACGGGUGAGUAACACGUGAGCAAUCUGCCCCUGACUCUGGGAUAAGCGCUGGAAACGGCGUCUAAUACUGGAUACGAGCUGCGAAGGCAUCUUCAGCAGCUGGAAAGAAUUUCGGUCAGGGAUGAGCUCGCGGCCUAUCAGCUUGUUGGUGAGGUAAUGGCUCACCAAGGCGUCGACGGGUAGCCGGCCUGAGAGGGUGACCGGCCACACUGGGACUGAGACACGGCCCAGACUCCUACGGGAGGCAGCAGUGGGGAAUAUUGCACAAUGGGCGAAAGCCUGAUGCAGCAACGCCGCGUGAGGGACGACGGCCUUCGGGUUGUAAACCUCUUUUAGCAGGGAAGAAGCGAAAGUGACGGUACCUGCAGAAAAAGCGCCGGCUAACUACGUGCCAGCAGCCGCGGUAAUACGUAGGGCGCAAGCGUUAUCCGGAAUUAUUGGGCGUAAAGAGCUCGUAGGCGGUUUGUCGCGUCUGCUGUGAAACCCCGAGGCUCAACCUCGGGCCUGCAGUGGGUACGGGCAGACUAGAGUGCGGUAGAGGAGAUUGGAAUUCCUGGUGUAGCGGUGGAAUGCGCAGAUAUCAGGAGGAACACCGAUGGCGAAGGCAGAUCUCUGGGCCGUAACUGACGCUGAGGAGCGAAAGGGUGGGGAGCAAACAGGCUUAGAUACCCUGGUAGUCCACCCCGUAAACGUUGGGAACUAGUUGUGGGGUCCAUUCCACGGAUUCCGUGACGCAGCUAACGCAUUAAGUUCCCCGCCUGGGGAGUACGGCCGCAAGGCUAAAACUCAAAGGAAUUGACGGGGACCCGCACAAGCGGCGGAGCAUGCGGAUUAAUUCGAUGCAACGCGAAGAACCUUACCAAGGCUUGACAUAUACGAGAACGGGCCAGAAAUGGUCAACUCUUUGGACACUCGUAAACAGGUGGUGCAUGGUUGUCGUCAGCUCGUGUCGUGAGAUGUUGGGUUAAGUCCCGCAACGAGCGCAACCCUCGUUCUAUGUUGCCAGCACGUAAUGGUGGGAACUCAUGGAAUACUGCCGGGGUCAACUCGGAAGGAAGGUGAGGAUGACGUCAAAUCAUCAUGCCCCUUAAGGUCUUGGGCUUCACGCAUGCUACAAUGGGCCGGUACAAUGGGGCUGCAAUACC
This 1193-nucleotide ribosomal RNA is filed under the name bacterium. RNAcentral describes it as "bacterial SSU rRNA". It matches the Rfam family "Bacterial small subunit ribosomal RNA", at positions 56 to 1256 of the family's 1533-position model. The record is from RNAcentral.